This 994-nucleotide long non-coding RNA is filed under the name Pan troglodytes (chimpanzee). RNAcentral's name for it is "long non-coding RNA NONPTRT007610". The record is from RNAcentral. Lineage: Eukaryota; Metazoa; Chordata; Mammalia; Primates; Hominidae.
CUCCAAUCUCACACUAAGAAAACGACUAUACAUCCAGGUUAUUCUGAACCAUGGAAAAAAACAGAGUUAUCAGUGGAUGCCUCACCUUAGAAAAGUCCCGUAAAACUGAGGAAGAUUGUGGGAGGUAUCCUUGGGGGUCAUCUAGACCAGCACUCCAGCCUGCCCCAAAUCUACAGAUCAAAAAAGCAAAGUCCAGAGAAGUAACGUCUCAAGGUCACAUAAGUCAGUCCCUAUCAACAUCAGCACUAAAAUCAAGGCUUCCUAAAACCAGUCGGAUCAUUGUUCCAUUACAGCAUAUGGCUUUUCUUCUGGAAAAAUGUCCAACUGUAGCAGACAGAAAGGAAGCCAAGAGAGGGUGUUUACAGCAAGGAGGGGCUAUGAAAUAUCUUCACUCCAGGUUCUUUACGAGCUGCAGUGUAUCAUUUUUAUCAGUAAUUGGAAGCAUGCUGCAUGUUUGACUCUGUGGACUCCUGCUUUACACAACAGAACAUUCCGAUGGUGUGCAUGUGCCAUACCCUGCCGUAACAAAUCUCAGCUGGUCCUCUGCUGUCCUCUGGGGAGAAUGCAUUUGAACUCAUCUCAAAGAGCUGGUUUUCUACCCUGGAGGUCUCCGAUGGCUACUGCGAGAAGAAAGCCAUGUCCCGAAAGCAGUGAUACAGAUUGGCAGCCACUGCAGAGAUGCAGAAUGUCGAAGAGUGUGUGUGUUGGAAUUCCUGGACAGACACUGCUCUGAAAGAAAAACCCUCUGGUUUUGGAAGUCUGGUUGGGCAAGGCAGGCGGAGGUCAUGGAGGGGCCGGCGUGAUGGAAUCCUCGGUGCAGCUGACUGCGCAGCCCGACACUGGCGUGGACACUGGGAUGCGUCAUGCAACAUCCAACCAGAGCACACUCACGAGGACAAACAUGGGCCCACCUAUUUACCAUCAGAAAAACAAAAUCACGCUCUUUCACUUUGAAAGAAGGGGGAAACUGGAAAGUUAUUAUUUGAAAUAAAAU